Molecule: ribosomal RNA, 253 nt
Filed under: uncultured bacterium
Lineage: Bacteria
Description: partial 16S ribosomal RNA
Rfam family: Bacterial small subunit ribosomal RNA
Source: RNAcentral
UACGGGGGGGGCGAGCGUUGCUCGGAAUCACUGGGCGUAAAGCGCACGUAGGCGGAUUGUUAAGUCAGGGGUGAAAUCCUGGAGCUCAACUCCAGAACUGCCUUUGAUACUGGCGAUCUCGAGUCCGGGAGAGGUGAGUGGAACUGCGAGUGUAGAGGUGAAAUUCGUAGAUAUUCGCAAGAACACCAGUGGCGAAGGCGGCUUACUGGUCCGGAACUGACGCUGAGGUGCGAAAGCGUGGGGAGCAAACAGG